UCAAGAGAGAAGGACUUGGCUGUCUGAGGUGGAAUAUUGCUGGGGAAAGGCAGAGGAAGCUGGAGAGCUCUAGCCUAGCAAAGCCCCAGGCUGCAGGUCGAGCUAAGGGUCCACAAAAGGAUACUAGGGCUGCAGGGGGGCAACCCAGAUAUAGGAAAGGCAGCAGGUCUGCCCCACCCCCUUGCUGAUGAUGAGUGGUUUAUAGACUACAGUCUGCCCCAAUGAGUGGGGGCUAGCUGAUGAUUGGCAGUAGUCAUUGAGGCAAGGUGGGGUUAGGGGUUCCCCUGGAUGGGGAGACCCAGAUUGUGGGUUGCUGCAAGGGGGCAGACCCUGAUGUAAAGGGUACCAGGGUCUGGGAGGGAUAUGAGGACCAGCAGCAGGUGAGACACUGGCCUGCAGAGGGUGCUCCAGAGCUGGAAAAGAGCUAAUUCCCUGGACAACCAGCAGGAGGUGCCAUGCUGAUUGAGGGUGGAUGAUUCCACAUUCUCAUUUUACACAGCCUUGAUUUUAUGGACAUCUUGGGAAUGCACAGAAACCUAGUGAAACCAGUGUACAACACAACAACUUGCCUGUUGUGAUCUGUCAUUCUGUCAGAUAUUACAGUGGUUGACCUUCAAUCAAUUAGCCUGCAAGUUGCUUAACCCUUUCUGGCUCAGUGUCACAACAACAUUGCCAUGAAAAUGGCAAACUGGAAGUCUGAUGACACUUCUGACCUAAUUUUAUAGACCCAAAGGAUCUGUGUGCUCUAGAUAUGUACUAACAGUUUCUUGGAAGUCAUUGUGAGCCCACAGUUAAAUACAGAGAGUAUAUAGCAAGGUUUUUAAACUAAGAA
Molecule: long non-coding RNA, 832 nt
Organism: Mauremys reevesii (Reeves's turtle)
Lineage: Eukaryota; Metazoa; Chordata; Testudines; Geoemydidae
Exons: 3
Source: RefSeq, a predicted model, not a curated record